Molecule: long non-coding RNA, 2602 nt
Organism: Papaver somniferum (opium poppy)
Lineage: Eukaryota; Viridiplantae; Streptophyta; Magnoliopsida; Ranunculales; Papaveraceae
Exons: 6
Source: RefSeq, a predicted model, not a curated record
CGCGUGGCUUAGGUGAUGUUUCCGCUCCCCUAAAUUGGGAAGGACAGGUAGAGAGAGAAAUAAGAGGCGAAAUUAUUCGGUUCGUCUUCCAAGGACGUGGAAGUAUAGAGCAUUUAGAAAAGUAUAACCACUGCGAGGUACAAGGUGAUGGAAAGGGAGUCUGGCAACAAAAAAAUAUAUAUGAGAAAGGUAAUGGAUUUCAACUCUAUGAAUAUGGUAACCGGUGAUGGAAUUAAUUGACUAUGUGAUUCUUAGAGUCUCAUGAAUCAAAGAUUUUGAUACGACUGAUCUUUUUUCAAAGUUUGUCGAUUGGAACAUUUCUAUUUUGUUCCCCUCUAACUGAUUUGGUUACCCUUUCGGAUUAUUUAGACUGAAACUGGUGGGUAAUAGCUAUGGCAAAGGAAAACGAAGGUAUUGAUUGGUAUCUUUCCUCUUAGAGAUGCAGCAGAAGGGAUUGAUUUGUGUCUAUUAGUUCAGUAUUAUCUCAAGUAUUAUUUUGUUUUCUCAUUAAAUGUUCACCAGCCUCAAUAAUUUAGAACUAAAAUGUUUGAUAUUGUGACUGAAUGAAAACAAAUAUCAUUUAAGGUGUUGUAACUGUUUCUGGGAAAAGAAGCACCAAUCUCUUCUGGCAACUCCAGAUGCUCAUAAGCUACAUGGGAAGAAUCAACCUGAAUACAAUGGCAUACUAGGAACGAUUCAUAGCUGAAUUCAUAUGUGGUUUGUAGGUCUUUUUAUGAUAUUUGUCUCUUUUUUUUUUUGAGAUAUGAUGAUAAUUAUAAUGAUCCGUCACGGGAUGUUAAGCCAAUCAAGAAUUAUCUUACAAUUGGAUUUUUUAAAGGUUUUGGCAUGAGGAGAUCUCGGUUUUUAUUGUUGGUCUUGAAUUUGUGUCUUUGUGAUGCAUCAUACCAUUUGCCUAUUCUGUCAACAACAACAAAAAAUGGCAUUAAUGUAAUGAGGGUGUUUUCUUAUUGGAACUUAUUUGUGGAUUUGGGUUUUCUCUUAUUGGUAUGACAGUUGUAAUAACUGAAACUUGCAUCAGUUGGGAAUGGUUAUUUGUGACUGUUUACUUUCAUUGAAUUUUUUGAUGUCUCCCUAACUAGAUCAACCUCUCUCACUUCCUCUCGGAAUUUACUAGGUUAUAUUUCCUCUAUAUGCACAUUUCAAUUUGCUCUUUUGCAUAUUAUUAUCUGAAUUUCUUAAUUCAGAUAGACCAUCCCUUUGAUUCCUUUAGGUUAUUCUGCUUUGGUGAUUCAUUUAGGUUUCUUAAGUAGGUGGUUGAUUAAUUUUUGCAAGAAAGCAAGUGAUAUUUGUGAAGGAACCAAAUUCAAUCAUUCUUUCUUUCCCUGGGUUCGUAAUAGACCGAAAAUAUGCGUCUCAGAUUUUGAUCUAAAGACGGCUUGACAAAAUAGUUGGGAUUUUCAUGGCGGUACUUAAUUUUCUUUUGUUUCUGUACUUUUCAUUCUAUUAAUUUGCAACUACAACAAUUUAAUGUUUCAUUCAGAUAUAUUAUAAGACUGAUAUUUGCGUUAGAUUUUCAGAGAAUUCAUAGUCUUCACAACUAGACUUGAGUGGAUUGGAUAUUUGAAGUCUGCUUCGGAAGUUAAGUGGGACAUGACCUGUUAUAGAUUUUUUUAGGAUAGCUAAAAGGUGUAAGGUGCAACAUAAUUCCUAAGGCUCUUGAUAUGCUCUUUGAUGUCCUAUGGUAGCUAUUCUGUCUGGUAUGCUCUUUGAUGUUGUUCUUCACUUCUAUCUAGGAAAAGUAAUUAUGAAUCACGUGUAACUAAAUUUCAAGUGCUGCAGGAGUUAAGUUACCCAAGUUUGGUAUUUUACUGAAGAUAAAAUGAAUAAUGAACUGACUGGAUCAGCGCAAGGUGAUCGAAGGUGCAACUUUGUAAGGCGGCUGAUAUUACACUAAUUGAAAUUCUUAGAUCUUCGUGAGUUCCAGAUUCCUUCCUAAUAUGAACAAGGCAGUUGGUUACAGCGCAGAGUUCAUUAUAGUUCGGAUUUGGAUUCUGCUUAAGUUCUCUCUAUAGCCAACAUACGGAGAUUAGUGACUGCCUGAAGACAAUAAAGAUGGAGGAAGGGGUUGUGUCUAGAAAUGAUGUUACUGAUAGCUGCUCCGCUAACUGUUUCAAAGGACAAUUUUGGGCAUCCAAGAUUCUAGCAUAUUUGUCAUGGUACUAGCUUUUUAUAUUGGAUAUGUGGUCAAUUUUCCUGCUCCUUGACAUGACAUACCAAGGAGGAUGAACUGGGGGUUACAAAGAACUUGACGAAUAAAUGUCAAGGAAAAGCAUAUUUUCAUUUUGCAUCGAUCAGGAAGCGGGUAAUAUGAAAAACCUAACAUUUGAUGAAAGAUGGUUAUGAUGCUGGACUCGAAGUCUGGAAAACGUCAACAAUAGUCGGCUUGAGUACUUUGGUGAGUUGCAGAAAAUUUUAACUCCCGUGCUUAUGAUGGGAGGAACUCAUGUACAAUAACUUCAAUAUUGUUCCAAUACGAACAACUUCUGAACUUUCAUUGGCUGUUAAGGUUAAUUUGUUGAAUAACUAUUCGUUGUACGUACAUAGAUAUCAAUUGAAAUGAUCAAUCCUUUUCAUAGUGCCA